AGAGUUUGAUCCUGGCUCAGAUUGAACGCUGGCGGCAUGCUUUACACAUGCAAGUCGGACGGCAGCACAGAGAAGCUUGCUUCUUGGGUGGCGAGUGGCGAACGGGUGAGUAACAUAUCGGAACGUACCGAGUAAUGGGGAAUAACUAAUCGAAAGAUUAGCUAAUACCGCAUAUUCUCUGAGGAGGAAAGCAGGGGACCUUCGGGCCUUGCGUUAUUCGAGCGGCCGAUAUCUGAUUAGCUAGUUGGUGGGGUAAAGGCCUACCAAGGCGACGAUCAGUAGCGGGUCUGAGAGGAUGAUCCGCCACACUGGGACUGAGACACGGCCCAGACUCCUACGGGAGGCAGCAGUGGGGAAUUUUGGACAAUGGGCGCAAGCCUGAUCCAGCCAUGCCGCGUGUCUGAAGAAGGCCUUCGGGUUGUAAAGGACUUUUGUCAGGGAAGAAAAGGCUGUUGCUAAUACCGACAGCUGAUGACGGUACCUGAAGAAUAAGCACCGGCUAACUACGUGCCAGCAGCCGCGGUAAUACGUAGGGUGCGAGCGUUAAUCGGAAUUACUGGGCGUAAAGCGAGCGCAGACGGUUACUUAAGCAGGAUGUGAAAUCCCCGGGCUCAACCUGGGAACUGCGUUCUGAACUGGGUGACUAGAGUGUGUCAGAGGGAGGUAGAAUUCCACGUGUAGCAGUGAAAUGCGUAGAGAUGUGGAGGAAUACCGAUGGCGAAGGCAGCCUCCUGGGAUAACACUGACGUUCAUGCUCGAAAGCGUGGGUAGCAAACAGGAUUAGAUACCCUGGUAGUCCAA
Molecule: ribosomal RNA, 801 nt
Filed under: uncultured bacterium
Lineage: Bacteria
Description: bacterial SSU rRNA
Rfam family: Bacterial small subunit ribosomal RNA
Source: RNAcentral